GACGCCAAGAAGGAGAAACCCUUCGCCAGUACUACGUGGCCGUGGACAGGCUCCAAUUCAAGAUGGAGGAGCUUCACCCUUAGGCUUGCCUUUGAUUUCUUACCACCCUUGGGCUUACUAGGCAAGAUCGGCCUUGACUUGCUUCAGCUGCAAGAAGACCGGCUACUUCCCUUGUGAGUGCACUGAGUUGAAGAAGGAGCGACAAAAACACUUAACAAAGGAUGAAGGCGGGUUCAUGGGAAUGGGAGGCGUGAAGAUCUUCAUAAGAAACAAUGAUGCUAAAGAUGUGGUGGGCAUGGGGACCCAUUGUUUGCAGUUUCCAUCUGGUCAUACCUUGCUUCUCCAUGCUGUGCUCUACACUCCUAGGAUGAGGAGGAGCCUACUACCAGAAACAUUGGUUGAUUUGUUGGACGUGAUUGGGAGAAGAUCUUCCUUGCCAAUUGUGCUGUGUUGCAGUUCUCGUGAUGAGCUUGAUGCAGUUUGUGCCACUGUGUCGAACUUAUCAUAUAUCUCCUCAACUUGUAUGUAUAGUGACCUUGCAGAAAGUGAGCGUGCAUCUAUACUUGAUAAUUUUCGGCAAGUAGCAGCACAAUGGAAUAAAAGGAGUGAUGACCUUCCAUCGGAUCAGUCUGAGUCAGGAUGUGAACAGAAACGAUCUUAUAUGAUGGUUGUAACCGACGCCUGCCUGCCCAUGAUUGGUGUUGGAGAGGCACCAAUUCCUGCUCGUGUUCUAAUAAACUAUGAGUUGCCGACAAAGAAGGAAGCAUAUUUAAGGCGCAUAUCAAGUUGUUUGUCAGCAGAUGGGAUCGUGAUCAACAUGGUUGUUGGAGGUGAGGUAAUCACCCUCAAAAGCAUAGAAGAAAGUUGUGGCAUUGUCACCGAAGAGAUGCCUAUACAUAUAUCAGAGAUUUUAUGAGGAAUACAGCCAAGUAGCAUCCAUACCAUCCUUCACUGUACUAUUCAGUAUAAAAAAAGCUUUAUUUGUCAUGGUUGCUUUCUGUACUUCCAGCUACAUUGUUGACUCCAGAAGUUUCUGCUUGACGAUUCGCAUUCCUGACCAAGAAGAAGGUAGUUCAGUUGGAAGGGUCCUUUACCAGUGACAAAUGAAAUUCAAGACGUCACGUUGUGUUGGCUUGUCAGUCGGACCACCUAAACUUGAGCCCAUUCCUAUGGGCAGCGCUGAGAGAUCGAGUGGUCUGAAUUGCAUACACAAUUUGUGUUGUAGAGAGAUGAAGAAAGGUGUAGUCUAUCAUGCAUGUAUCAUGUCAAGAUACAUGACUCCACCCACGUUCAACAGUGGAUGGUGGAGAUGAGCCAUUCAUAACAACUUCGUCCGCGUAAAAAACUUCUUCAAAAUUUCAAAUC
Molecule: RNA transcript, 1365 nt
Organism: Amborella trichopoda
Lineage: Eukaryota; Viridiplantae; Streptophyta; Magnoliopsida; Amborellales; Amborellaceae
Gene name: initiation factor 4A-like protein
Source: RefSeq, a predicted model, not a curated record